AAGCUCGAUAUGUUUAGUUUAUGGAUUUAAAUAAAAAUUAAUAGGUUCAAAGCGUGACGUUUGAUGCUAUUGACUGUUGAGGUACGCCUGAUUACUGUGCGGGUUUAACGGUAAAACUAUGAAUAGCAUGGGACCAUUCACGUUAAUCAAUUUCAUAUUAGUAGCUAGCUUAGGCCUGUAUGGUCCUCCAUCAAAAAACCAUCUUCUCUUUGUUUUUCCUUGCUUUUUUAUUACUGCGCAUGCGAUCAUAUUCAUACGCAGGAUUGGAGUUAGCUUUCACCUGGAUCUUGCAGAACCUGGCUGGUUGCUUCUACUCUCAGUCCCAAACGAAGGUUUCUAUUUGUAACCCUACUCUUGUAAAACUAAUGCGUUGCUUGUUUUACUGUCUCUGACUAAUGGGUGUUGUUCUUGUUUUUGCUUUAAUUUAGUGAAAAUUUAGUCAUUUGCAGACUCGGUUCUACUGAUUUUAUGUUGUACCAUGGGUGAUUUGUAGCUGUGAGGGUUGAAGAGAAGAAGAAACCCUGGGGGAAUAGGUUUUGGGUGUGGUGACUGGUGACGAGUCUUCUUCAUCCACAAUUUUCUGCAUCUAUAUCUUCUCUCUUGCUUUUUUCUCAUGUUCCUUUUGCAGGAUUUGAGUUUUGUAACUUUAGAUGGAGAUGUGCAGAAGAAAAACUUAUAGAACAGUUUUGGCGCCAUCAUCAUUUUGGCUGCAUUCUUCUCCACUAUGUAGCUUCAGCAGACGACUGGAAUAAAUGGGGUUGUCGGAUCAAAGCUUCCUUUGAAAUCGCAAGCGCAUGUGGGGAGCCGUUUUUCUAGUUUCAGAUUAUCUUAUUACUUGAUAGGGACAACUGGCAAGACCUGCUUGGGGAAAUCUUUGUUUAGAUGAAACAAAAUAGUAGACUGAAUAUGAACCUGUAGUAGGGUGCUAGUGGGUCAUAUUUAGACUGUAACUUUGUGAAUGAGGAGAGAAGAUUUACUGCGAAGCUCUCUACUCGAAGUGAAAGCUUGCCUGUCUUAAGUGGAUACCUAGUAGCACCGUGGCAAGUGGUGAAGAAAAGGGGUUUUGUGCAUGAAUGCCAUGGGAAA
Long non-coding RNA from Hibiscus syriacus, 1086 nucleotides. RefSeq lists it as uncharacterized. The transcript has 4 exons. Lineage: Eukaryota; Viridiplantae; Streptophyta; Magnoliopsida; Malvales; Malvaceae. The record is from RefSeq and is a predicted model, not a curated record.